Trifolium pratense (red clover) is the source of this 896-nucleotide long non-coding RNA. RefSeq lists it as uncharacterized. NCBI's taxonomy places the organism in Eukaryota, Viridiplantae, Streptophyta, Magnoliopsida, Fabales, Fabaceae. The record is from RefSeq and is a predicted model, not a curated record. The transcript has 7 exons.
GUCUCUUGUGAAAGCAAAUCAACAAGAUAGAAGGGUUGCAACUCAUUUUGCCAAAGAAUUGAAGGUAAUUCAUUGAUAGAGUGAUUUUCCAACAAUUUAAUUAGUUGCUUUUGUGUUGAGUGUAUUUUGAACAUCUCUGUCAAAUAAUAUAAGUGUUGAUGCAGCAAAGAACUGCCUCAAUCUUGUAUUAAACAAGGAUUUGGCAUUUCAUCACUUGUCUCUUUCUGCCCUGCUGGGAGAAAACAUCUACAACUACAAUUUUAGAGAGCUACUUGCCCAUCCUAUUUCUUUGUUUCAAGACAUUUGAAAGUCUUGUUAUGAUUAAGCCCUGCAUUUGAGGGUUGUGGAUUCAAAAUGACAUCAAUAUCUACUCAGCAACAGUUCUGAUAUGCCCAGCCACCGUCGAAGCCUAUUAGAGCAUUCACUUGGCAAGGUCACUGAGAACUUAUAUUUUUGGUUGGUGUCUCCCGGUAUUAAAGUUUAUCAUGCUUCUUUUUAAUUGUGAAACUUCUCAAUAUUACUCCCAAAGACAUGACUUUAAAUUUUUUAAAGAGUUACAAGCUUGUCUUAUAGCUUUCAAAGAAUUAGCUUGAUGUGGUGAAGGUCAAAUGACAUUUGACGUAAUUCUGUAUGGGUAGUUCAAUGACAAUUUUCUAGAGGUUAAGAAGCUCUACAUCCAGAGGAAAGAUUAAAUCAAAUAGUCGAAAAAGAUCUAAUGACAAAGUGACUUUGUUAAAUGGGAAGAAAUGGUCCACGUUGCACUCAUCUGUAGACAUUUUAGGUGACUCUGUUGAUUAUGUGUAAUUGCAUAUGCCUCUAAGCAUUAGUACUCAGGCAUCACAUGAGCUAAACUAAGACUUUUCUCUUGUACUAAAGAUCAACGAUUUAGAAACUGA